Vigna umbellata (rice bean) is the source of this 295-nucleotide non-coding RNA. NCBI's taxonomy places the organism in Eukaryota, Viridiplantae, Streptophyta, Magnoliopsida, Fabales, Fabaceae. The record is from RefSeq and is a predicted model, not a curated record.
GGAUGAAUAACUUAAUAUUUUUACUGUAUCAACUUGAGGGACUACACAUAUUUUUCCCUUUGCAAUUUCACUUUCCAUUAUUCCUAAACUUUUCAAAGCACUCUUAAAAAUCAGCUUUCCCAGCACAAAAAAUUAGAUUUCACUUCAGUUGUCAAAGCCCCUUGCAAGCUAAUUGGAGGGAAGAAGGUGGGAAUAAAAUGGAAGAAAACAAAAAAAAAAAAGUAUGAGUAACGUACAUGAACAGUUUGCAUCUGGUGUAGAUCUGCAAGAGCCUUUUGCCUUGACUGAUAGUUAA